AGUGAACGCUGGCGGCAGGCCUAACACAUGCAAGUCGAGCGGCAGCGCGUCCGACCACCCUCGGGUGGUCGGAUGGCGGCGAGCGGCGGACGGGUGAGGAAUGCAUCGGAAUCUGCCUCGUUGUGGGGGAUAACGUAGGGAAACUUACGCUAAUACCGCAUACGACCUACGGGUGAAAGUGGGGGACCUUCGGGCCUCACGCGAUGAGAUGAGCCGAUGCCGGAUUAGCUAGUUGGCGGGGUAAAGGCCCACCAAGGCGACGAUCCGUAGCUGGUCUAAGAGGAUGAUCAGCCACACUGGAACUGAGACACGGUCCAGACUCCUACGGGGGGCAGCAGUGGGGAAUAUUGGACAAUGGGGGCAACCCUGAUCCAGCCAUGCCGCGUGUGUGAAGAAGGCCUGG
This 403-nucleotide ribosomal RNA is filed under the name uncultured bacterium. RNAcentral describes it as "bacterial SSU rRNA". It matches the Rfam family "Bacterial small subunit ribosomal RNA", at positions 30 to 419 of the family's 1533-position model. The record is from RNAcentral.